This 76-nucleotide transfer RNA is filed under the name Streptomyces subrutilus. RNAcentral describes it as "tRNA-Ser". The record is from RNAcentral. Lineage: Bacteria; Bacillati; Actinomycetota; Actinomycetes; Kitasatosporales; Streptomycetaceae.
GAGGUCGGCGGUGAGCGGGUUGUCCUCCGUCUGCUCGAAGCAGUUGACCCCGACGAUCUUGUCCUCGCCGGCCUCG